CGGAGGGUCCAAGCGUUGUCCGGAUUUAUUGGGGUUUAAAGGGUGCGUAGGCGGUCUUUUAAGUCAGAGGUGAAAGCCCACAGCUUAACUGUGGAACUGCCUUUGAUACUGGAAGACUUGAGUACACUAGAGGUAGGCGGAAUUUAUGAUGUAGCGGUGAAAUGCAUAGAUAUCAUAAAGAACCCCUAUAGCGAAGGCAGCUUACUGGAGUGUAACUGACGCUGAGGCACGAAAAGCGUGGGUAGCGAACAGGAUU
RNAcentral lists this ribosomal RNA (256 nucleotides) under uncultured bacterium. Its description in RNAcentral is "partial 16S ribosomal RNA". It matches the Rfam family "Bacterial small subunit ribosomal RNA", at positions 526 to 779 of the family's 1533-position model. The record is from RNAcentral.